This 5459-nucleotide long non-coding RNA is filed under the name Sus scrofa (pig). RNAcentral's name for it is "lncRNA (ENSSSCG00060049818.1)". Lineage: Eukaryota; Metazoa; Chordata; Mammalia; Artiodactyla; Suidae. The record is from RNAcentral.
CUCUCUCGUCUCUCUCGCUUCGGUCUCCCAGAUGUCUUUUCUGCUGCUGAGCAGACUGGCAGGCAGCCGGUGAUGGGGCCCUACUUGGAAGACCCCCUCCUCUGCUGGCUCCUGCGAUUCUUCAGCCUCCUCGUCAGUGUCUACAGCAGUGGGACCAAUGGUGGAGGCCCUGCUCCUGGAGUUCAGGAUUCUGGAGCUCCUGAUCCUCUGCAGGGGAUCCGAGGAGGUUCUGUGCUGUUUCCUUUGCCCAAGAAGCAAGACGCUGAGCUGGAGGAGGUCACGUGGGGCUUUGGUCCUGGGUCAGAGUACAGAGUCCUGCUGCGAGUCCGUCCUGGGAAAGCUCCCACCUGGGUCAGCCUCCAGGACAGGUACCAGCAGAGGGUCCAUGUGCCCAACAUGACGUCCCUGAAGAUUGAGAACCUGACCCCUGAGGACAGUGGGCUGUACCGGGCUCGAGUUAGCUUUACUGGAGGAGUAGAACUUACCAAGGUUUUCCACCUCACUGUCUAUGAGCCAGUGACCAUUCCCCAGAUCCUGGUCCACUCAUCAUCCAUCACACCAGGCUGGUGCAAUGUUACCAUGGAGUGCAGGACCUCAGGGGACACAGAGGACCUGAAGGUGACCUGGGAGGGCAAGGGCCUCCCCAGGGAGCUGGAGGAGAGAGUGACAUCAGGACCAACCCCCAAUUCGUGGACCCUGGCUGUGCACCUGCCCCAGAGCCAGCCCUACACCAACAUCACCUGUGUGGUCAGCAACGAAGUGGACCAGAAAACUGCCACCUUCAACCUUGGGGAAGUCUGUGUCCAUGGUGAGUGUACCUGCCACAGGGGAGGGGCACUCUUGGAGCUCGGGUGCAGUGGAGCAAAGGUUCUGGGCUGUUGUCCACACCACGUUAUUAGAACCACCUUCCACUGGGUCGCCCCAUAUAGGAGCCUGGGAGGUACAGCCAACCCAUCUUUGCUUUUAACGGUCUCUCACAUCUAAGCCUGCCUCUCCAUCCCUUGCCCAUUCUUGUCCAGGGCAUGAGCUUUCCAGUACUCUUCCCUCCCAUCCACUAUCCAUAGCGUGUCCUCUGUAAUCUUUUGGAAAAGAAAUUGGAUUGUGUAUUGGUCUGUGUCGUCUGUGGGGUCUGACCCAGUGAUUCCCUGUAGAAUUCAGGGCUCAGACAUUUCUCUGCCCAUGUUUCUGGCUUCACUUACACACUUCGUAGUGAAUGGUGUGUGUGUAUGUGGUUGUUGUUGUUAUUUUUGUCUUUUUAGGGCUGCACCCGCGACAUAUGGAGGUUCCCAGGCUAGGGGUCCAAUCGGAGCUGCAGCUGCUGGCCUGUGCCACAGCCACAGCAAUGCGGGAUCCAAGCCACAUCUGUGAUCUGCACUGCAGCUCACAGCAAUGCUGGAUCCUUAACCCACUGAGUGAGGCCUGGGAUCGAACUCACAUCCUCAUGGAUACUAGUUGGGUUUGCUAACCCCCGAGCCAUGACGGGAAAUCCUGUUGCUGUUUUUCAGUUUUUGAAUGUGUCCUGCAAGCUUUGAGCCUCUGAUCAUGCCGUUUCCUCCACCAUCAUUCCUCCCACUCUCGUCACUUCCUGAAGGAUUCCCUUCAGGCACUGCUGCUUCAUGAGCAUAUGACAAGCACCAUCACACAGGGCCCUGCACUUGGUUAUAGUUCUGUCAUUAAUACUAUUUGAGCAAAGGGCACCUCAAUCUCAUGCUGCACAGACCCCUGCAGGUGCUGUAACUGUCCUAUCCUCAGGCAUUACCCCUUAAAAGGAGCAGUCUGUGGCCACCCCCCGCCAAGCAGCAAUGCUUUGCUAAAGGAUUUGUCUCCUUUGUAGCUGGAACACUUCGAGAGCAGAAGUCAUGUCUUUUUUUUUUUAAUUAAAUUAUAGUUGAUUUACAAUGUUGUACCAAUUUCUGCUGUAUAGCAAAGUGACCUAUUCAUAUGUAUUUAUAUAUCUAUUUUGAUAUAUAUAUGUAUAUACAUAUAUUCUUUUUCUCAUAUUAUCUUCCAUCAUGCUUUAUCACAAAUGAUUGGAUAUAUAUAGUUCCCUGUGCUAUACAGAAGGACCUCAUUGCUUAUCCUUUCUAAAUGCAGUAGUUUACAUCCGCUCACCCCCAAUCCCAGUCCAUUUCAUUCCCUCCCCUCUCCCCCUUGGCAACCACAAGUUUGUUUUCUAUGUUUGUGAGUCUGUUUCUGUUUUGUAAAUAGGUUCACUUGCACCAUAUUUUAGAUUCCAUGUAUAAGUGAUAUCAUUGGUAUUUGUCUUUCUGAUAUACUUAAUAUAAGAAUCCUAGUUGCAUCCAUGUUGCUGUAAAAGGCAUUGUUUUUAUCUUUUUCAUGGUUGAGUAGUAUUCCAUUGUAUAUAUGUACCAUGUCUUCCUAAUCCAUUCUUCUGUUGGUGGACAUAUAGGUUGUUUCCAUGUCUUGCUGUUGUGAAUAGUGCUGCAGUAAACAUAGGGGUGCACAUCUUUCUUUCAACCCCUGAACCAAGGACAGCUUCUGGCAAAGUUUGCUCAUGGUCAGUGUUUCACUGAGUGAAUGACCUGAUACCCUAUCAGCAGCAUCCUGGAGUUUCAAAUAAAGUUCAACACUCAACAUGACCCUUAAAACCCUCUGGAAAGAGACUCUUCCUCCCUCUGAUCCUCUUCAGCCAGCUCCUCCCUGCCAUGUCCCUCUCCUGCCUGCCACAGUAAGGUGAUGGCAGUUCUAAGGCCAAUGGUUUGCCACAGCCAUUGCCUGGACGUGGGCCUCCUCCUUCCCGGAAUGCAGUCCUCAACCUGAAUACGUAGUAAACUCCUACUCCUGCCUCAAGACUCAGUUUUACACAUCACCUCCUCUAGGAAGCCCUCCCUGAAGACGUGUGUAUGGGUGGAAACCUCUAUUGCAUGGCAGUCUCUCUGGCUGGUAGACGUUGGUAUUUUCUCAGUGUUCUCUCUGGGUGACCACACCUUGUUCCUUCCAGUCUCCCUGAACUCAAGCAGGAGCUCAGGAGGAGGCUGACUGAAUGAACCUGCCAAGCUCCUCCCUCUUCAGCUUCUGAACCAGGACCCUUCAGACCUCUCCACGUGCUCGCUCCUCUCUUUCCCCUUGGCAAUAGGCAUCUCAAGUUCUUUCUGGCCUUAAUGUUCUUCAUUCUCUCCGUGUGAGGGAAACAGGUUCACAUGGACAAGCCAAUGCUGUUGCCCUGCCAGGCAUCUUAGGGGCAGGGGCUACUGUGGCUACACUAUUACUGAUCCUUGGAAUUGGACUCUGCCUUUGGAAGAAGAAGAAGAAGAAGAAGAUGGAGACUGCAAGAGGAUUGCAGGAGGAGUCUAAGGACCGUGACGGUGGCAUCCAAUAUGUAGAGCUGAGCCAGCAGGAUUCUCGAGAGAGCACGGACCAGGGUGAUGGUGAACGACGUCUAAAUGAAAAGGAGUCUCUUAAUACUGUCUACAGUGAGGUCCAUAAGCCAGCAAGUGUGCCCAUGAAGAUAAUUUAAUUGGAGGAGGCAGAAGAAUUGACACUCCUAGGACACCUCCAUUCUGAAUUUGAUCCCUGCAGAUACCUGCCCCUACGAGUGCUGGUCCAGCACCAGCUGCCUCUGGUCUGCAUUCCUCUGACCUUUGUGCCCUCAACUCCCUGGGCUCACGUGGCCCUGUCACUUCCUCUGUCAACUCUAUAUGCUGCCUUCCACUCAGGUUCCUCACUCCAGAAGGACUAGUGCUCUUUCUCCGUCAUUGACUCUGCUCCUGAUUCCUCUCCUUCUGAAGUUUCCCUAGGAGGAUCUCCCUACCUGUGCAUGUGUUCAUCCCCACAGCCUCUGCGCUGUGGCUGGUGUGUAUCUUUCUGAGAACAGGAGCCUGGGCGUGGGGACUGUGUGGAGGUUUCGACUACACCAUAGAGGGAGUUAGGAACUUGGAGCUGGGUGUUGAGCUGAGUGUCCAUGGAGGUGGCCUGGAUGGAUGGGUAGGAGCCUACAAAAGACGGGCCUGAGGCGUCCUUUGUAUGGCAAAAGGUGUUGGAGGGACUGUCUAGUAUACAUCAUACAUGGGGGCCAGAGCCCUUGAUCCUGAUCACCCAUACUAACCUCAGCUUCAGCUCAUGGGCCUUAAAUCCAUCUCUCGUGGAAUGUGAAGAGGAAUUUGUAUUGUCUCUGGUCCUUCCAAGCCAACUCCUUUUCAGAGAAAGACCCCAGGAACCCAAUGUUGGGACUCUGUGUUCUUCCCUGUCUGGGCCAGGGGUUCUUGUCAUUAGAAUGGUCAUGCAGGGAGUUCCUGUUUUGCAGCAGUGGAAACAAGUGCUACUGGUAUCCAUGAGGAUGCAGGAUCCAGUAUUGCUGUGAGCUGUGGUGUAGGUCGCAGAUGCGGCUUGGAUCCCACAUUGCUGUGGCUAUGGUGUAGGCUGGCAGCUAUAGCUCUGAUUUGACCCUUAGCCUGGGAAUUUCCACCUCCAUGUGCUGUGGGUGUGGCCCUAAAAAGAAAAAGAAAAAGAAUGGUAGUGCAUGUUCCCCCACCACCCCCAUGGUGAGGCUGCUAUGAGGUGUGAAGGGUGAAACUUAGGGGAAGGUCUGAACCAGCCCUCUCCUGCCUCUUCUACUGACCCUCAGACCCCACAGUCCUGCUGGCCUCAGAUCCUGGGUCAGUCUCCUCUUUGCUCACUCACAUCCCUCUGCCUGGAAUGAUGGAUCCUUUACCCUGUCUCUUAUUCCCAUCCCUGGCUGUUGAAAACCUACCAACCCACCCAAAGCCUCUCUUCAAGUCACGUGUUCCAGGGAGCCUGUCUGCUACCAAGAGUUGGAAAUGUCCUCUCCCACAUCUGACCUUCUUGAACACCAUGGACAUAACUAAGGCCCUUGCUGCUAUCGGCCAUGGACUGGUCAUGCCAGACUUGCCUAGGGCUCCCUCAAGAGGGUGUUGGGGUUUAGGAGGCAAGGACCAAGAAGACAAACACCUGUCUCUAAGCCUCCUCACAACUUCCACGGGGACUCAGCAGACUGAGACCCAGAGCACAGAGGCUGCUGAAGGUCUCACUGGUGGUGAGCCCACUUGGAAGCAAAGAGGGAUGUGAUGACCUCCCAUGACCUUGCCUGGCCCAGAGAUCUGAGGAGGGGCUUCCCCACCCCAUCUCCAGCCUCCCAUUGCCUGAGGACCUGAUACAGCCUGCACUGUGCUGUGUGGGGUCUUCUCCUCCCCCUGGGGGUUUUCAUCUCAUCAAAGCCUCUGCCUCCUGCCUUCGGUCUCAGCUCUUGGGUCAGAGAUGGGCUCGCUCUGGAACGAUGAUCUGUGGAAACUUGACUGCUGGUCUAGAUUCCUGGAUUUCUUGGUUCCCUUCCCAGCUCAGCAAGCUCAGCUGAUUCACCUCUAACUUCAGAAAGCAAAGUUCUGAGCUAAAACCUUGAGCAUGAUGAAGCAAGGCUGGGAGCCUUCUUCCCAUGGAUAAAGGAGGAUGAGAGUUUCAAUAAUAAAGCUGUUUCUAACCUC